Long non-coding RNA from Ictalurus punctatus (channel catfish), 348 nucleotides. The record is from Ensembl. NCBI's taxonomy places the organism in Eukaryota, Metazoa, Chordata, Actinopteri, Siluriformes, Ictaluridae.
GGAAAGGAGAGUGAGAAUGGAAAGAGAGAGAGACAGUCAGAGACACAGGCAGGGUCAGAGAGAAAACAAAAGAGAGAAAAGAGAGAGAGACAAACAGAAAGACAGGGAGUGGAGAGAGAGAAAGGCAAACAGAAUCACAGAGAGGUAGAGAGAGAGAGAGAGAGAGAGAGAGACAGAAUGAGAGAGAGAGAGAGAGAGAGACAGAAUGAGAGAGAGAGAGAGAGGGAGAGAGAGCGAGAGAGAGAGAGGCAAACAGAAUCACAGAGUGACAGAGAGGUAGAGAGAGAGAGACAGAAUGAGAGAGAGAGAGAGAGAGCGAGAGAGGCAAACAGAAUCACAGAGUGACAG